CAUGUUGUAAUGGUGUCAGGAAGUCAGUUUGUUGGUUUCUAUUGAAGAAAGAGUGGAUGAUGAGUUUUUGUUUUUUUUUUGUUUUGAAAAUGAAAAUGAUGCAUAAAUGUUUUUUUUGUUUUAUUAAUGCAAAUAUCUUUAGUUAUUCGUGUUUUUUAUUGCAAGAAACACUUAACAUUUUAAACAUUGCAAUCAAGAAUAGAGGAAUACACGUAUAGUGAAAUCAAUGAAGCUUCAUUCAUC
Molecule: long non-coding RNA, 243 nt
Filed under: Lathyrus oleraceus (garden pea)
Lineage: Eukaryota; Viridiplantae; Streptophyta; Magnoliopsida; Fabales; Fabaceae
Description: Pisum sativum (pea) long non-coding RNA (PSAT_LNC038189)
Source: RNAcentral